RNAcentral lists this ribosomal RNA (495 nucleotides) under fungal sp. DS44. Its description in RNAcentral is "eukaryotic LSU rRNA". The stretch from base 140 to 293 matches the Rfam family "5.8S ribosomal RNA". Lineage: Eukaryota; Fungi. The record is from RNAcentral.
UUGUGAACGUACCCGUCAGCGUUGCCUCGGCGGGCGGCCCCUCCCUGGGGCCGCUGCCUCCCUCGGGGGGUGCCCGCCGGCGUACCAAAACUCUUUUGUAUUUUAGUGGCCUCUCUGAGAAAACAAGCAAAUAAGUUAAAACUUUCAACAACGGAUCUCUUGGUUCUGGCAUCGAUGAAGAACGCAGCGAAAUGCGAUAAGUAAUGUGAAUUGCAGAAUUCAGUGAAUCAUCGAAUCUUUGAACGCACAUUGCGCCCGCCAGUACUCUGGCGGGCAUGCCUGUUCGAGCGUCAUUUCAACCCUCAAGCCCUGCUUGGUGUUGGGGUCCUACGGCUGCCGUAGGCCCUGAAAGCUAGUGGCGGGCUCGCUAUAACUCCGAGCGUAGUAGUAAAAUAUCUCGCUAGGGAGGUGUCGCGGGUUCCGGCCGUGAAAGCCCAUCUUUUACACAAGGUUGACCUCGGAUCAGGUAGGAAUACCCGCUGAACUUAAGCAUAU